This 484-nucleotide ribosomal RNA is filed under the name uncultured bacterium. Its description in RNAcentral is "partial 16S ribosomal RNA". It matches the Rfam family "Bacterial small subunit ribosomal RNA", at positions 29 to 507 of the family's 1533-position model. The record is from RNAcentral.
AUUGAACGCUGGCGGCAUGCUUUACACAUGCAAGUCGAACGGCAGCGCGGGCUUCGGCCUGGCGGCGAGUGGCGAACGGGUGAGUAAUACAUCGGAACGUGCCCAGUCGUGGGGGAUAGCUCGGCGAAAGCCGGAUUAAUACCGCAUACGACCUGAGGGUGAAAGCGGGGGAUCUUCGGACCUCGCGCUAUUGGAGCGGCCGAUGGCAGAUUAGCUAGUUGGUGGGGUAAAGGCCUACCAAGGCGACGAUCUGUAGCUGGUCUGAGAGGACGACCAGCCACACUGGGAGUGAGACACGGCCCAGACUCCUACGGGAGGCAGCAGUGGGGAAUUUUGGACAAUGGGCGAAAGCCUGAUCCAGCAAUGCCGCGUGUGUGAUGAAGGCCUUCGGGUUGUAAAGCACUUUUGGCGGGAACGAAAAGGACUGUGCCAAUACCACGGUUCGAUGACGGUACCCGCAGAAUAAGCACCGGCUAACUACGUG